RNAcentral lists this transfer RNA (72 nucleotides) under Caudoviricetes sp. RNAcentral describes it as "tRNA-Asn". It matches the Rfam family "tRNA". Rfam says of the family: Transfer RNA (tRNA) molecules are approximately 80 nucleotides in length. Their secondary structure includes four short double-helical elements and three loops (D, anti-codon, and T loops). Further hydrogen bonds mediate the characteristic L-shaped molecular structure. tRNAs have two regions of fundamental functional importance: the anti-codon, which is responsible for specific mRNA codon recognition, and the 3' end, to which the tRNAs corresponding amino acid is attached (by aminoacyl-tRNA synthetases). tRNAs cope with the degeneracy of the genetic code in two manners: having more than one tRNA (with a specific anti-codon) for a particular amino acid; and 'wobble' base-pairing, i.e. permitting non-standard base-pairing at the 3rd anti-codon position. The record is from RNAcentral. Lineage: Duplodnaviria; Heunggongvirae; Uroviricota; Caudoviricetes.
UCCCUGUUAGCUCAGAGGUAGAGCAAUCAGCUGUUAACCGAUUGGUCAUUCGUUCGACUCGAAUACAGGGAG